UCGGUGCGACAAGGUGUAAGCCAACCCUGGUUGUCCUACCCGGGGGGAGUGUUAGCCACUACGUAGCUAGCGCACCUUACUCACUUCCUAGCUACGCCGCUGUUACUGGUGAGUGGUAAUGAUCCAUCUCUUAUCAACGAUCCGGUGAGUACCGAUAAGAAUAGAAGGGAAGAACCAAAACAAAACAGGUAGGCGGAAAACUAAUCAGAAUUCGUCAUCAGUGAUAGAAUAUAAUUGCAUUGCCCAAGUUUCUUAGCUAGUGUUAAUCUAAUCCCAGUUGUACUGAACUUAAAUACAAUAAUUAGUUAAGUGCUGUAGGAGCUGAAUUGUAUCUACUAAAAUAGAGUUAAAGCAUCAGCGGGAUAGCUUGAUGAUCCCUAAGUUUAAUAGCCGAGAAUAAGCAAACAUACAUUACGAUAGCAAGAUAAUUACUGCAGAACUGCUUACAAAUAUCCUUCUGUGAACCUCCUGUCGCGCCAACCAAGCCUGAUUGUCAGCACAUGUUGUAUGAAAACCUAGUGAAGGGACUAAACGUAAGUCGCAACAGUUUUCUAACCAUAAAAGUAAAACCUAUAGCAUACAAAUGGGAAACCAGGGGUUCCCAUAACAAUACAUACGUAGCAUCAUAGUAGUAAAUCUAAAUGAAAAUGUUAUCAAUCAAUAUGCAUCUAACAGCAAUUAUGGUAUUCUUCAACAGGAAAUUAUAUUCUUCCAAUACCGAAUCACUCGUGUUUAAUUUGCUUUCGGUCGGAGAAUAACGUUUCGGAAAUCGUUCCCGUUGAAACAGAGUUUCAAAAAUCACAUUUCUGCCUGACUGAAAUCCCAUUUC
Long non-coding RNA from Aedes aegypti (yellow fever mosquito), 829 nucleotides. RefSeq lists it as uncharacterized. The transcript has 4 exons. The record is from RefSeq and is a predicted model, not a curated record. Lineage: Eukaryota; Metazoa; Arthropoda; Insecta; Diptera; Culicidae.